Rhagoletis pomonella (apple maggot) is the source of this 617-nucleotide long non-coding RNA. RefSeq lists it as uncharacterized. The transcript has 2 exons. The record is from RefSeq and is a predicted model, not a curated record. Lineage: Eukaryota; Metazoa; Arthropoda; Insecta; Diptera; Tephritidae.
AAGGAUUCCGAGUAAAAUAAAAUACACCCGUCUUUUAAAAGUUAAUAUGUGUCUUUCUUUAAUCACGUUCAAUAGCAAGUAUCUUUCUAUUGUACAAAAACGACUGUCUGUGUCCGCGGUCCGUUGCAACUACAAAACUACUCUGUCUUCUUCUCGUCCGUUUCUCUUGUAUGUGUUGUGUGUUAUUCAGGGCUGUCAUGGAAUCCAAUUGUUGUCGGAAUUGGAUUUAAAAACGACAAAAAAAUUACUUUGGUGUCAUGAAAUCCAAUGUUAUCGGUUUUAUGUUCGAAUCGGAAUUAGUGUCGAUUUUAGGUGUCACAGAAACCAAUAAUAUCGAUUUUGCUAUCGGAAACAAACCAAGCAGCUAACGGCUGUUGGAUUUCAUUUGUUUAUUAGUUUUCCUUACUUCCAGUUGGAUAUUUUAUAAAAAUAGCCGGGAUAGAGUGCAUCGACGGCUCGAAUUUUCAUGUCACCAUCACACAUCUAAAUAAAAAUGUACAUGCAUAUAUAUAAAUCAAGGCAAUGUACGAGUAAAAUGAAGAUUCAUGAUUACUUACAAUCAGGGCAUUCAUACUGAAUUAUUUUCGAUUAUAAAAUAAAUGUUCGUCAAUACUGGG